This 463-nucleotide ribosomal RNA is filed under the name Vreelandella stevensii. Its description in RNAcentral is "partial 16S ribosomal RNA". It matches the Rfam family "Bacterial small subunit ribosomal RNA", at positions 339 to 795 of the family's 1533-position model. The record is from RNAcentral. Lineage: Bacteria; Pseudomonadati; Pseudomonadota; Gammaproteobacteria; Oceanospirillales; Halomonadaceae.
CCAGGGCGGCUGCAGUGGGGAAUAUUGGACAAUGGGCGAAAGCCUGAUCCAGCCAUGCCGCGUGUGUGAAGAAGGCCUUCGGGUUGUAAAGCACUUUCAGUGGGGAAGAAAGCCUUGGGGCUAAUACCCUCGAGGAAGGACAUCACCCACAGAAGAAGCACCGGCUAACUCCGUGCCAGCAGCCGCGGUAAUACGGAGGGUGCGAGCGUUAAUCGGAAUUACUGGGCGUAAAGCGCGCGUAGGCGGUCUGAUAAGCCGGUUGUGAAAGCCCCGGGCUCAACCUGGGAACGGCAUCCGGAACUGUCAGGCUAGAGUGCAGGAGAGGAAGGUAGAAUUCCCGGUGUAGCGGUGAAAUGCGUAGAGAUCGGGAGGAAUACCAGUGGCGAAGGCGGCCUUCUGGACUGACACUGACGCUGAGGUGCGAAAGCGUGGGUAGCAAACAGGAUUAGAUACCCCAGUAGUC